AGAUAACUCUACCCAGGCUGAGUUGUGGCUGGUAUUGGCGAUAUAAGCUUGUUAGCUGUUUUCUCUUGUGUCUUUGGUCUUCAUCUUUGAUUACGCGUCAUUGAAAAGACUGUACAUGAGAAAACUCUUUUGUUGAAACAUUUCUCUUGUAAUAUGAAUGUAUUGAGUUUGUGACUAUCCUUCUCCUGUGCUAGAAUCAUAUAUUUC
RNAcentral lists this small RNA (207 nucleotides) under Oryza sativa Japonica Group (Japanese rice). RNAcentral's name for it is "sRNA Os01g0278466". The record is from RNAcentral. Lineage: Eukaryota; Viridiplantae; Streptophyta; Magnoliopsida; Poales; Poaceae.